GUGGAUGGAAGGUGGCUGCCUCGCUACUUAAUUGUGGCGGGGAGGAAAGUCCGGGCUCCGGAGGACAGCGUAGCGGGUAAUUCCCGUCGGCUCGCCAAAUUUUAUGGCGGGUUAGGAUUAGAGCUACAGAGACGAGUCUCUACCGAAAGGCGGAGGGUGAAACGAGGCAAUCUCUACGCGGAGUAAGGCUGAAUAGGGGAUGAGGGCUGGUCCGGCCCGUUAAUAAUCCCGGGUAAGCUGCUUGAGCCUUCGCGGCAACGCGAGGGUCGAGAGGAAUAGUCAUCCAGAUGCGCAAAUAUCGUAUCAGGACAGAACUCGGCUUAUUCCAUCCACUCUU
RNAcentral lists this RNase P RNA (337 nucleotides) under Candidatus Omnitrophota bacterium. Its description in RNAcentral is "RNase P RNA component class A". It matches the Rfam family "Bacterial RNase P class A". From Rfam's summary of the family: Ribonuclease P (RNase P) is a ubiquitous endoribonuclease, found in archaea, bacteria and eukarya as well as chloroplasts and mitochondria. Its best characterised activity is the generation of mature 5'-ends of tRNAs by cleaving the 5'-leader elements of precursor-tRNAs. Cellular RNase Ps are ribonucleoproteins. The record is from RNAcentral. Lineage: Bacteria; Pseudomonadati; Candidatus Omnitrophota.